Molecule: long non-coding RNA, 1781 nt
Organism: Coturnix japonica (Japanese quail)
Lineage: Eukaryota; Metazoa; Chordata; Aves; Galliformes; Phasianidae
Source: Ensembl
GUUCCCAUUGGGGGGGUCCUAUGGGGUUCCUAUAGGGGUCCUAUGGGGGUCCUAUAGGGGGUUCCUAUGGGGGUCUCAAUGGGGUCCUAUAGGGGGUUCCAAUGGGGGUCCCAUGGGGGGGUCCUAUAUGUGUCCCUAUGUGUGUCCCCUCACGGCAGUGCCGUUGCCGGGGGUCUGUGCAGCGCCGCGUCCAGGGCGGUUCCGAUGGCGGUUCCACCCGUCAGAGCCGCGAACACCCACAGGAAAACACGGUCCACCAACAUGGCGGCGAAACGCCACUGCUCACGGAGCUGCAACGGGAACGAGCCUUGCACCACGGCUUGCACGGCUGCUUUGCACCACGGCUUUGCACGGCUGCUUUGCACGAGUGCUUUGCACCACGGCUUGCACGGCUGCUUUGCACNUUGCACCACGGCUUGCACGGCUGCUUUGCACCACGGCUUUGCACGGCUGCUUUGCACGAGUGCUUUGCACCACGGCUUGCACGGCUGCUUUGCACGGCUGCUUUGCAUGGCUGCUUUGCACCACGGCUUUGCAUGACUUUGCAUGGCUGAGUGCACAGCAGCAAUGCAAUGCAUGGUUCUGCUGCAAGGCUUUGCAAUGCACGGCUGUGCUGCAAGGCUGUGCAAUGCAGCAGCCUUGCACCACGGCUUUGCACAACUGCUUUGCACGGCUGCUUUGCACAACGGCUUUGCACCACAGCUUUGCACGGCUGCUUUGCACAGCUGCUUUGCACCACGGCUUUGCACGGCUGCUUUGCACAGCUGCUUUGCACGGCUGAUUGCACAGCGACUUUGCAUGGCUGAUUGCACGGCUGCUUUGCACGGCAGCUUUGCAUGGCUGAUGGCACGGCAGCAAUGCAAUGCAUGGCUGUGCUGCAAGGCUUUGCAAUGCAUGGCUUUGCACUGCAGGAGGGGGAGUUAACACGCCUUGCACGACAGCUUUGCACCACGGCUUUGCACGGCUGAUUGCACGGCUGAUUGCACGGCAGCAAUGCAAUGCACGGCUCUGCUGCCAGGCUUUGCAAUGCAUGGCCUUGCACUGCAGGAGGGGGAGUUAACACGCCUUGCACUACAGCUUUGCACGGCUGCUUUGCACGGCUGAUUGCACAGCAGCAAUGCAAUGCACGGCUGUGCUGCAAGGCUGUGCAAUGCAUAGCUUUGCAUUGCAGGAGGGGGAGUUAACAUGUCUUGCACCACGGCUUUGCACGGCUGCUUUGCACCACGGCUUUGCAUGACUUUGCAUGGCUGAGUGCACAGCAGCAAUGCAAUGCAUGGUCCUGCUGCAAGGCUUUGCAAUGCAUGGCUGUGCUGCAAGGCUUUGCAACGCACGGCUUUGCACUGCAGCGGGGGGUGCUUAACACGCCUUGCACCACGGCUUUGCAUGACUGAUUGAUUGCAUGGCUGCUUUGCACUGCAGCUUGCAUGACAGCAAUGCAAUGCAUGGUUCUGCUGCAAGGCUUUGCAAUGCACGGCUUUGCACUGCAGCUGGGGGUGCUUAACACGCCUUGCACCACGGCUUUGCACGACUGCUUUGCACGGCUGUUUGCACCAUGACUUUGCACCAUGGCUUGCAGCAUGGCUUUGCACUGUGGUUGCUUUGCACUACGGUUUGGACCUUGCACGGGGAGGGGGGGUGACACAUGAGGAGGUCACGUGGGGGGGGGUCACACGGGGCCUUGCACAAGUGCUGGGUCACAAGGGGGGGGUCACACUGGGGCGUCACACAUCCUUGCACGGGGGGGGGAUCCCAUAGGAUACAUAGGGGUUCCAUAGGGGGGU